Molecule: long non-coding RNA, 870 nt
Filed under: Citrus x clementina
Lineage: Eukaryota; Viridiplantae; Streptophyta; Magnoliopsida; Sapindales; Rutaceae
Description: Citrus clementina (C. clementina) long non-coding RNA (CCLE_LNC003358)
Source: RNAcentral
GGACUUGUAUGUCAUAAUUAUAAAACUUUUGAUUUUUCUUAUUUUACAUGAACAAAAGGGGCUUUUAAUGUUAAUGGCUCAAUAAUCACAUCUAAGCCAUUAUACAACUUUUGCGUUAAAUCCAACGGUGGAUUUGAAAAAGACAAAAGAACGGGGUACCAAACCCCAUGGGUAUAGUAGCUGGACCCUUCCCAUAAAGCAAAUGAACCUUAAUUUGAAUAAACUUUCAUUUUUAAGAUCAUAGAAUAUCAUGAUUUUCACAUCAUCAUAAUUGAGAGAAAACAUACAUUGAUCCAUAGCAAUUUUUCUUGAUCAAAUCUCACUACUAAGAGUUAAAGAUUAGCAAAAUUGAUUUAUCUCUCUUGACCCUUUUAGAGUGACUCACUCUCUGAUUAAGAGAAAAUUAACGUGAUAUCCUUUUAUAUAUUGGGUGGAGAGAGGACCAAUUUUAAUAAAACCUUAAUUUCCACUUUCCAUCAAAGUAGACAGUUAAUUUUUUUUUUCAAUUGGUCAAAAGGAUUUCAACCAAUAAUUUAUUGUAUUAUUACUAAGGUAGCGUUUACUUUUUGGAUUGGAGUGAGAAUCGUAGGAUUAUGAGUGUGGAGUGGGAGUGGGAGUAUGUUGUUUACUUACACUAGAAUGGAAGCAUGGAAUGGAAAUCAUAAUCCAAUUUAUGUGUUUAUUUUGUCUUGAAUUGAGAGUAAAUAGUUUUAAAUUACAAUUUUAUCCUUAUUUAAAGAAUUAUAGUUUUUAAUUACAAAGCUAAUAAAAAAUAAAUUUAAUGAAUAAAUAUUUAUUUUAUUAUAUUUGUAAAUUUAUAAUAAUUAUUAAUAUUCUUAAUUAUGAACAUCACAAUUUUUUAUUAAUUUU